GGUGAAAGGCUUGCUGCCUGAAGAAGAGCUUGCGUCUGAUUAGCUAGUUGGUGGGGUAAGAGCCUACCAAGGCGACGAUCAGUAGCUGGUCUGAGAGGAUGAUCAGCCACACUGGGACUGAGACACGGCCCAGACUCCUACGGGAGGCAGCAGUGGGGAAUUUUCCGCAAUGGGCGAAAGCCUGACGGAGCAAUACCGCGUGAGGGAGGAAGGCUCUUGGGUUGUAAACCUCUUUUCUCAGGGAAGAACAGAAUGACGGUACCUGAGGAAUAAGCAUCGGCUAACUCCGUGCCAGCAGCCGCGGUAAUACGGAGGAUGCAAGCGUUAUCCGGAAUGAUUGGGCGUAAAGGGUCCGCAGGUGGCAUUGUAAGUCUGCUGUUAAAGAGUCACGCUCAACGUGAUAAAAGCAGUGGAAACUACAAAGCUAGAGUAUGGUCGGGGCAGAGGGAAUUCCUGGUGUAGCGGUGAAAUGCGUAGAUAUCAGGAAGAACAUCGGUGG
RNAcentral lists this ribosomal RNA (499 nucleotides) under Anabaena sp. 7VI37S1. Its description in RNAcentral is "bacterial SSU rRNA". It matches the Rfam family "Bacterial small subunit ribosomal RNA", at positions 199 to 715 of the family's 1533-position model. The record is from RNAcentral. Lineage: Bacteria; Bacillati; Cyanobacteriota; Cyanophyceae; Nostocales; Nostocaceae.